Molecule: long non-coding RNA, 228 nt
Organism: Arabidopsis thaliana (thale cress)
Lineage: Eukaryota; Viridiplantae; Streptophyta; Magnoliopsida; Brassicales; Brassicaceae
Product: other RNA
Exons: 1
Source: RefSeq
GCAUCUAAAAGCGCUUCGUAAGGAAUACAUAGCAGUUUGUGCUUUUCGUUCAUAGAUUACUUCCCCCAAAAUGUAACAAAAUCAUCAACCUAGAAGUCAAAGUAAUUGAAGCCCACAAAUUCUAAACACCAACAGAUCUUUCAUGCCUAGGGAAACCAGGAAAAAAAAGUUUCCUUUUUGCAUCAAGAUCCCUACUUUUUUAUUUAGACCUAGCUAUGCAACUAGAAG